RNAcentral lists this ribosomal RNA (368 nucleotides) under uncultured organism. Its description in RNAcentral is "bacterial SSU rRNA". It matches the Rfam family "Bacterial small subunit ribosomal RNA", at positions 526 to 896 of the family's 1533-position model. The record is from RNAcentral.
UGUAGGUGGCAAGCGUUGUCCGGAUUUAUUGGGUUUAAAGGGUGCGUAGGCGGUGUCCUAAGUCAGUUGUGAAAUACGGCAGCUUAACUGUCGAGGUGCAAUUGAUACUGGGACACUUGAGUACUGAUGAGGUAAGCGGAAUGGACGGUGUAGCGGUGAAAUGCUUAGAUAUCGUCCAGAACACCGAUAGCGAAGGCAGCUUACUAAGGAGUAACUGGCGCUGAGGCACGAAAGUGUGGGGAUCAAACAGGAUUAGAUACCCUGGUAGUCCACACUGUAAACGAUGAUCACUCGAUGUUGGCGAUACACAGCCAGCGUCUUAGCAAAAGCGAUAAGUGAUCCACCUGGGGAGUACGCCGGCAACGGUG